UACGUAGGUGGCGAGCGUUAUCCGGAAUGAUUGGGCGUAAAGAGUUCGUAGGCGACACGUAAAGUCUGGUGUUAAAGGCAGAGGCUCAACUUCUGUACGGCACUGGAUACUUGCGAGCUAGAAUGCGGUAGAGGUAAAGGGAAUUCCUGGUGUAGCGGUGAAAUGCUUAGAUAUCAGGAGGAACAUCGGUGGCGUAAGCGCUUUACUGGGCCGUAAUUGACGCUGAGGAACGAAAGCCAGGGUAGCAAAUGGG
Molecule: ribosomal RNA, 253 nt
Filed under: uncultured cyanobacterium
Lineage: Bacteria; Bacillati; Cyanobacteriota
Description: partial 16S ribosomal RNA
Rfam family: Bacterial small subunit ribosomal RNA
Source: RNAcentral